CCUACGGGAGGCUGCAGUGGGGAAUAUUGCACAAUGGGCGAAAGCCUGAUGCAGCAACGCCGCGUGAAGGAAGAAGGCUUUCGGGUCGUAAACUUCUGUCCUAGGGGAAGAUAAUGACGCAACCCUUGGAGGAAGCCCCGGCUAACUACGUGCCAGCAGCCGCGGUAAUACGUAGGGGGCAAGCGUUAUCCGGAAUUAUUGGGCGUAAAGAGUGCGUAGGUGGUAACUUAAGCGCGGGGUUUAAGGCAAUGGCUUAACCAUUGUUCGCCCCGCGAACUGGGAUACUUGAGUGCAGGAGAGGAAAGCGGAAUUCCUAGUGUAGCGGUGAAAUGCGUAGAUAUUAGGAGGAACACCAGUGGCGAAGGCGGCUUUCUGGACUGAAACUGACACUGAGGCACGAAAGUGUGGGGAGCAAACAGGAUUAGAUACCCCGGUAGUC
Molecule: ribosomal RNA, 439 nt
Filed under: uncultured bacterium
Lineage: Bacteria
Description: bacterial SSU rRNA
Rfam family: Bacterial small subunit ribosomal RNA
Source: RNAcentral